RNAcentral lists this transfer RNA (73 nucleotides) under Mustela putorius furo (domestic ferret). It matches the Rfam family "tRNA". Rfam says of the family: Transfer RNA (tRNA) molecules are approximately 80 nucleotides in length. Their secondary structure includes four short double-helical elements and three loops (D, anti-codon, and T loops). The record is from Rfam by way of RNAcentral. Lineage: Eukaryota; Metazoa; Chordata; Mammalia; Carnivora; Mustelidae.
GCCUGGCUGGCUAAGUUGGUAAAGCAUCUGACUCUUGAUCUCGACAUCAUGAGGUCAAGCCCCAUGCUGGGUA